This 433-nucleotide ribosomal RNA is filed under the name uncultured bacterium. RNAcentral describes it as "partial 16S ribosomal RNA". It matches the Rfam family "Bacterial small subunit ribosomal RNA", at positions 29 to 507 of the family's 1533-position model. The record is from RNAcentral.
AACGAACGCUGGCGGCAUGCCUAACACAUGCAAGUCGAACGAUCCCUUCGGGGAUAGUGGCGCACGGGUGCGUAACGCGUGGGAACCUGCCCUUAGGUUCGGAAUAACUCAGAGAAAUUUGAGCUAAUACCGGAUAAUGUCUUCGGACCAAAGAUUUAUCGCCUUUGGAUGGGCCCGCGUUGGAUUAGCUAGUUGGUGGGGUAAAGGCCUACCAAGGCGACGAUCCAUAGCUGGUCUGAGAGGAUGAUCAGCCACACUGGGACUGAGACACGGCCCAGACUCAUACGGGAGGCAGCAGUGGGGAAUAUUGGACAAUGGGCGAAAGCCUGAUCCAGCAAUGCCGCGUGAGUGAUGAAGGCCUUAGGGUUGUAAAGCUCUUUUACCCGGGAUGAUAAUGACAGUACCGGGAGAAUAAGCCCCGGCUAACUCCGUG